Cuculus canorus (common cuckoo) is the source of this 1037-nucleotide long non-coding RNA. RefSeq lists it as uncharacterized. Lineage: Eukaryota; Metazoa; Chordata; Aves; Cuculiformes; Cuculidae. The record is from RefSeq and is a predicted model, not a curated record. The transcript is spliced from 3 exons.
AUUUAGGUCAAAAAUUGGUGAAUUUAGGUCAAAAAAUUGGUGAAUUUCAAAAUUUGGUCAAUUUAGGUCAAAAAAUGGUGAAUUUAGGUCCAAAAUUCGGUGAAUUGAGGUCAAAAAAUUGGUGAAUUUCAAAAUUUGGUGAAUUUAGGUCAAUAGGUGGUGAAUUUAGGUCAAAAAUGGUGAAUUUAGGUCAAAAAGUGGUGAAUUUAGGUCAAAAAAUUGGUGAAUUUCAAUAUUUGGUUAAUUUAGGUCAAAAAUUGGUGAAUUUAGGUCAAAAAAUGGUGAAUUUAGGUCAAAAAAUUGGUGAAUUUCAGGAUUUGGUGAAUUUAGGUCAAAAAUUGGAGAAUUUAGGUCAAAAAAUGGUGAAUUUAGGUCAAAAAAUGGUGUAUUUAGGUAAAAAAAUUGGUGAAUUUCAAAAUUGGUCGAAUUUAGGUCAGAAAUUGGUGAAUUUAGGUCGAAAUUUGGUGAAUUUAGGUCAGAAAUUGGAGAAUUUAGGUCAAAAAAUGGUGAAUUUAGGUCAAAAAAUGGUGAAUUGAGGUCCAAAAUUGGUGAAUUUCAAAAUUGGUCGAAUUUAGGUCCAAAAGUGGUGAAUUUAGGUCAAAAAAUGGUGAAUUUAGGUCAAAAUUCAGCGAAUUUAGGUCAAAAAGUGGUGAAUUUAGGUAAAAAAUCGGCGAAUUUGGGUCCAAAAUUGGCGAAUUUAUGUCAAAAAAUGGUGAAUUGAGGUCCAAAAAUGUUGAAUUUCAAAAUUCGGUGAAUUUAGGUCCAAAAUUGGUGAAUUUAUGUCAAAAAAUGGUGAAUUGAGGUCCAAAAAUGUUGAAUUCCAAAAUUCGGUGAAUUUAGGUCCAAAAUUGGUGAAUUUAUGUCAAAAAACGGUGAAUUGAGGUCCAAAAUUGGUGAAUUUCAAAAUUCGGUGAAUUUAGGUCAAAAUUUGAUGAAUUUAGUUCAAAAAAUGGUGAAUUUAGGCUAAAAAUUGGAGAAUUUAGGUCAAAAAUCGGCGAAUUUAGGUCAAAAGUGGGAAAUUUAGAUUUAAAAAUGAC